AAGUCGAACGCAGUAGCAAUACUGAGUGGCAAACGGGUGAGUAUAAUGUGGGAAUCUGCCUUUUGGUUUGGAAUAACACGGGGAAACUUGUGCUAAUACCGAAUAAGCCCUUACGGGGAAAGUUUUAAUGCCGAAAGAUGAGCCCGCACUUGAUUAGCUAGUUGGUAAGGUAAAAGCUUACCAAGGCAACGAUCAAUAGCUGUUCUUAGAGGAAGACCAGCCACAUUGGGACUGUGACACGGCCCAGACUCCUACGGGAGGCAGCAGUGGGGAAUCUUGCACAAUGGGGGAAACCCUGAUGCAGCGAUGCCGCGUGAGUGAAGAAGGCCCUUGGGUUGUAAAACUCUUUCGUCGGGGAAGAAAAUGACUGUACCCGAAUAAGAAGGUCCGGCUAACUUCGUGCCAGCAGCCGCGGUAAUACGAAGGGACCUAGCGUAGCUCGGAAUUACUGGGCUUAAAGAGCUCGUAGGUGGUUAAAAAAGUUGAUGGUGAAAUCCCAAGGCUCAACCUUGGAACUGCCAUCAAAACUUUUUAGCUAGAGUGUGAUAGAGGUAAGUGGAAUUUCUAGUGUAGAGGUGAAAUUCGUAGAUAUUAGAAAGAACACCAAAUGCGAAGGCAACUUACUGGGUCACUACUGACACUGAGGAGCGAAAGCAUGGGUAGCGAAGAGGAUUAGAUACCCUCGUAGUCCAUGCCGUAAACGAUGAGUGCUAGACGUUGGAAAUAUAUUCUUCAGUGUCGCAGCGAAAGCAUUAAGCACUCCGCCUGGGGAGUACGACCGCAAGGUUAAAACUCAAAUGAAUUGACGGGGACCCGCACAAGCAGUGGAGCAUGUGGUUUAAUUCGAAGAUACGCGCAGAACCUUACCAACACUUGACAUGUUCGUCGCGAGACUAAGAGAUUAGUUUCUUCAGUUCGGCU
RNAcentral lists this ribosomal RNA (921 nucleotides) under uncultured marine bacterium. RNAcentral describes it as "bacterial SSU rRNA". It matches the Rfam family "Bacterial small subunit ribosomal RNA", at positions 59 to 1023 of the family's 1533-position model. The record is from RNAcentral.